Molecule: ribosomal RNA, 434 nt
Filed under: uncultured Blautia sp.
Lineage: Bacteria; Bacillati; Bacillota; Clostridia; Lachnospirales; Lachnospiraceae
Description: partial 16S ribosomal RNA
Rfam family: Bacterial small subunit ribosomal RNA
Source: RNAcentral
ACGGAAGGCAGCAGUGGGGAAUAUUGCACAAUGGGGGAAACCCUGAUGCAGCGACGCCGCGUGAAGGAAGAAGUAUCUCGGUACGUAAACUUCUAUCAGCAGGGAAGAUAAUGACGGUACCUGACUAAGAAGCCCCGGCUAACUACGUGCCAGCAGCCGCGGUAAUACGUAGGGGGCAAGCGUUAUCCGGAUUUACUGGGUGUAAAGGGAGCGUAGACGGAUCGGCAAGUCUGAUGUGAAAGGCUGGGGCUCAACCCCGGGACUGCAUUGGAAACUGUCGGUCUUGAGUGCCGGAGGGGUAAGCGGAAUUCCUAGUGUAGCGGUGAAAUGCGUAGAUAUUAGGAGGAACACCAGUGGCGAAGGCGGCUUACUGGACGGUAACUGACGUUGAGGCUCGAAAGCGUGGGGAGCAAACAGGAUUAGAUACCCUGGUA